UACGGAAGGCAGCAGUGGGGAAUAUUGGACAAUGGGGGGAACCCUGAUCCAGCCAUGCCGCGUGUGUGAAGAAGGCCUUAUGGUUGUAAAGCACUUUUAAGCGAGGAGGAGGCUACUGAGACUAAUACUCUUGGAUAGUGGACGUUACUCGCAGAAUAAGCACCGGCUAACUCUGUGCCAGCAGCCGCGGUAAUACAGAGGGUGCGAGCGUUAAUCGGAUUUACUGGGCGUAAAGCGUGCGUAGGCGGCUUUUUUAAGUCGGAUGUGAAAUCCCCGAGCUUAACUUGGGAAUUGCAUUCGAUACUGGGAAGCUAGAGUAUGGGAGAGGAUGGUAGAAUUCCAGGUGUAGCGGUGAAAUGCGUAGAGAUCUGGAGGAAUACCGAUGGCGAAGGGCAGCCAUCUGGGCCUAAUACUGACGCUGAGGUCGAAAGCAUGGGGA
RNAcentral lists this ribosomal RNA (439 nucleotides) under uncultured bacterium. RNAcentral's name for it is "bacterial SSU rRNA". It matches the Rfam family "Bacterial small subunit ribosomal RNA", at positions 340 to 767 of the family's 1533-position model. The record is from RNAcentral.